GACGAACGCUGGCGGCGUGCUUAACACAUGCAAGUCGAACGGAAAGGCCCUGCUUUUGUGGGGUGCUCGAGUGGCGAACGGGUGAGUAACACGUGAGUAACCUGCCCUUGACUUUGGGAUAACUUCAGGAAACUGGGGCUAAUACCGGAUAGGAGCUCCUGCUGCAUGGUGGGGGUUGGAAAGUUUCGGCGGUUGGGGAUGGACUCGCGGCUUAUCAGCUUGUUGGUGGGGUAGUGGCUUACCAAGGCUUUGACGGGUAGCCGGCCUGAGAGGGUGACCGGCCACAUUAGGACUGAGAUACGGCGCAGACUCCUACGGGAGACAGCGGGGGGGAAUAUUGCACAAUGGGCGGAAGCCUGAGGCGGCAACGCCGCGUGCGGGAUGACGGCCUUCGGGUUGUGAACCGCUUUCGCCUGUGACGAAGCGUGGGUGACGGUAAUGGGUAAAGAAGCACCGGCUAACUACGUG
Molecule: ribosomal RNA, 468 nt
Filed under: uncultured bacterium
Lineage: Bacteria
Description: partial 16S ribosomal RNA
Rfam family: Bacterial small subunit ribosomal RNA
Source: RNAcentral